Apus apus (common swift) is the source of this 2715-nucleotide long non-coding RNA. RefSeq lists it as uncharacterized. Lineage: Eukaryota; Metazoa; Chordata; Aves; Apodiformes; Apodidae. The record is from RefSeq and is a predicted model, not a curated record. The transcript has 2 exons.
GCUAUACUGAGGUAAAUCCAUGUAAAUCACACUCUCGGGGAUGCUCUUCCCCUCUCGUUCUUGUGUUUGUUUCCAGCUAUAGCUGCUGUUUUGACCAUUGAGGAAAGAGCCAUUUUUGUAGGUGAGCGCCUGAAGAAGAACCAGCUGCCUGCGACUGCUGCACCGGUCGGUGCCAAAACUCCCUAAGGCGAGCAGGAAAGAGUUAAACGCAUUCCCAGGCUGUGAGCAUUUAGAGCCAGGCUAGACCGUUCAUUCCCAAGCUGCCGAGAUCCUGGGCUCCUAAUUACUACUGAUUGCAAACUUUGGGGCUGUCCUAUAUUCCGCAUAAUUAACACUGGACUGCUGCUCGAUGAUCAACAGCACUCCUCAGCACCCAGAUCAACGUUAGCCAGAUCAGGCACCUGAAUGGCUUCAUUGUUUGGGCUUCCUCUUUUCGUCCUCCAAACGUAAUUUUAAUUCCUGGAUUAUUUCAGAGCUAAAUAAACACCAGACGUGUUUAGUAUAAAUCCAGCAAGACCGAUCUGGAUCUCUGCUGUCCUGCCAUUCGCAUGGCAAAGGAGAGGAAAGGCGGAAGGUGCGCAGGAAAACACGCCGCGACCCUCGCAGGGACAGCGCUGCCACAGAUCACAGCUUUGUUCUAUCGCCACCGUUCCAACUGUUUUCCCCUACCAGAUUAGAUUUAUACUGACAACUCGUCCCCUGUGAAGGUGCCACGGAGUGGCAUUUAUUUGCAUUUACAUUGCAGUUCUCUUCAUCAAUCAACUUUGCAGAGAUCACCGCUGCUGCUGGCCAUAUUGUUGCUGUGCUGACACUUCAUCCUUAAGUGCCGCUUGCGUAAUGGUACAGUACGUGCCCAUGACCAAAGUUUAAAUCAAAGUUUAAUCAUUACGGAAAAACAAACAUGUUUCCGCGACUGUGUAUCCUGCAAGUAAAAGUAAAGGCAGUUUGGUCAGGUCACAGAUGCUAAUCUCUGCUCUUUUUCUAUUCACAAACUAUAAAGGGAGUUGACAGCACCUGUAAAUGGUUUUCUGAGGCUAGAUUAUAUCAAAGGUGAUUAUUAUUUACACCCACUAUAAAGACUGCUCUUGUGAGCCAAGAAAUCCGUCUGUUCCUUUGAGGUGAGUGUUACCAAAAAAGGGCUUUCUUGCAGAAGGAUUCAGUGGAGCGAGGAGCCAGGGUGAGGGGCGGUUCAAGCUCACAUAGUGCCUUGUCAUAUGUUGGGUUUGUAUAACCCGGGGACUGGAAUAUAGUCGGGAUAUGCUGCAGUUCUGCAUUCCCAGACUCUCGGGAUGAAGAGGAAAGCCUCAGCUCUCUCAACUGGAGUUUUUAAAGCAGGAGCUGACCUUUUCCCACAGCCCAGUUCUGCUUCUCAUAUGAAGACCAACACGGGGCAGUAAAGAGAUAGGAAAGGAGUUGACCUUCCAGUGUGAACCAGAGCGAAUACAUGCUUGUUUAGUCAAGUAAAGUCAUAUUAAAUGUAGAAAUCCUGCAGCCAUCACUACAUCACUGCAGCUGGAAGCAAAGACUUUUACUUUGACCAGCUUUUAUCUGCCUUACUAGAAGUUUGCUUCUGUGAAGCCUCUACAAUGUCUACAGUUUAGGUGUGAAAUUCCCAAGUGUGAAAUACACCCUCCUUUAGCGCAUCUUCUUCAGCCAUUUUGCAUCUGAGAGACUCAUAUAAUUUAAAGAUUCUUCUGUCUCGCUGCUUCUGCAAGCUUCCCCUGAAAGUGUCACUUUGUCAGAACUGAUUUUCUUACUGUAUUUUAUUUGUUCCUACCAUUUCUGUAACUUCAGCCUAUGCAUUUCGUUAAGUCUUCCUUGUAAAAUAAUUCUGCUGACACACGUCAAAUUCGUUCUCCAGCUCUAUAGAUUUAUAACCAGGCACACAUAACACGUUUGAGACAACUAAAAAUGGAAAAGAGACGCACUGGGCAUGUGAAACGAAUUGUUUAAAGCAACAACUUUUUUGUCGUGUGAGUUUUGAAACGUUAUUAACCGAACACAAGUUAUCUUUCCUGCCCGGUGCUGCAUGGCUGCUGGGCGUGCGCUUGUAGGCGCGUAAGGCAGCUGUGGCACCGCGCCAUGGAAACACCGAGUCCCUUUAAAGUGCAGAGGGAAAGCUGUAACGAACGGGUUUUUGGGCGUUUCUAGCAACAAAGGAACUAGGAAGAGAUACGGAAAGAAAGAAACCCAUCCAGCACAGCCCAGCUGGGAGAGGCUCCGCAUCCCCCCGCUGCGCGCUGCCUGCGCGGGCACCCGCGAGCCCGGCGCUGCGCCAAUGACGCGGGGCCGGUGGCCGCCCGCCGUGCAGCCCGCAGGCUCCUUGCCGACCCGCGGUCGCGCAGUGAGAGUUUAUUACUCUUUGGACGCGGACAGCGAUGCGAGUGUUUGCAAAAAGAGCCACCGACUGCAGCGAGGCGGGCGGUGCAGAGCCCCUCCUGCCUCCGGGCAUCGGCGUCGCCGCCAGGGCGGGCGGGGAGCGGGCAACUUUGGGGAUCGCCGUCGGGAAAAGGCAGGCUUCGGGUUGUUUUUUUUUUUUGGUUUGGUUUGUUGUUUUUUUUUACGAGUGAAAUGAAUUCUCGGCUUAUUUGCAUGAGCCGAAGUUGCUUCGAGUAAUUUGCCUGUUAGCAGUGUUAUGCAAAUGUCAGCAAGCUAUUUAACGGAGGAAACAGGGGAAAAAAAAAAUAAAAAAAAAAUGAGCCGUGUGUUCACAAA